This 96-nucleotide ribosomal RNA is filed under the name Ovis aries (sheep). Lineage: Eukaryota; Metazoa; Chordata; Mammalia; Artiodactyla; Bovidae. The record is from RNAcentral.
GUUUACGACCAUAGCAGCCUGAACGCACCUGAUCUUGUCUGAUCUGGGAAGCUAAGCAGGGUUGGGCCUGCAGAAAAUGAAGAGGAAUUAAAAAGC